Molecule: long non-coding RNA, 246 nt
Filed under: Elaeis guineensis (African oil palm)
Lineage: Eukaryota; Viridiplantae; Streptophyta; Magnoliopsida; Arecales; Arecaceae
Description: long non-coding RNA (EGUI_LNC031764)
Source: RNAcentral
GCCCAACCUCCCUCUAGGAUGCUAAGUGGGUCUGCAAGGCACAGGGCAAAUCCUUCCUUGUCUGGAGGCGAAGAAGGGUUCACCACCAUUGUGAAGUCAAUGCAAAGGGACGCCUCUACCCUUUAAGACCAUCAGCCUGGGAGCUGAUGAAGUCAAUUCUGAUGUCGGUCAACUGGUUGUAAAGGGGGUCUCGUCCCUCAAACAAGGUCAUAGGGGCCUCUUACACUAGUUAUCUCGGGAUAAGUC